RNAcentral lists this ribosomal RNA (482 nucleotides) under uncultured bacterium. RNAcentral's name for it is "partial 16S ribosomal RNA". It matches the Rfam family "Bacterial small subunit ribosomal RNA", at positions 28 to 507 of the family's 1533-position model. The record is from RNAcentral.
GAUGAACGCUAGCGGCAGGCCUAAUACAUGCAAGUCGGACGGGAUUCAGGAGCUUGCUUCUGAUGAGAGUGGCGCACGGGUGCGUAACACGUAUGUAACCUACCUUUAUCAGGGGGAUAGCCUCUCGAAAGAGAGAUUAAGCCCGCAUAAAAUCACAGCACAGCAUUGUGUAAUGAUCAAAUAUUUAUAGGAUAAAGAUGGGCAUGCGGAACAUUAGCUAGCUGGCGGGGUAACGGCCCACCAUGGCGACGAUGUUUAGGGGAUCUGAGGGGAUGGCCCCCCACACUGGUAAUGAGACACGGACCAGACUCGGACGCGAGGCAGCAGUAAGGAAUAUUGGUCAAGGGGCGGAAGACUGAACCAGCCAUGCCGCGUGCAGGAAGACGGCCGUACGGGUUGUAAUCUGCUUUUAUACGGGAACAAAACCAGAUACGUGUAUCUGGCUGAAUGUACUGUAAGAAUAAGGACCGGCUAACUCCGUG